GAGCCAUAUUUACAAAGUGAAAAGAGGGCUGCUGCUAUUUCAUAUGCUGGCCACUAGACAGCGCUCUAGAGUUUGUUAUUGUCUUAAGUGACGUUGUACACAAGCUCAACAGAGUAGUACAUUCAAAAGGGAUGCUGCCUUGCUUACCAUCAAAGUCCACGGUCCCAUCUCCAUUGAGGUCGAUGUCUGUCAGAAUUUCUUCCAGUUCUCCCUUCUUCAGUUUCUCCCCGAGCAGCGUCUUUGUGGACUCCUUCAGCUCCUCAAAGGUGAUCCGUCCAUCACCGUCAGAGUCAAACUAAGAUAGCAGAGAGGAAUGCAGAGUUUUAUGAAGAAGUAAUAUUAUUUAUGGGUUGGAAAAAGAUGCAAGAUCACUCGACAAGACCAGCAAGAAUCCAUCUAGAGAUCUGCUAAGUUUACCUGUCCAAAGAGAGCAUUGAGGUACUGUGUAUAAGCCGCAGCAAUAGCAGAAUUCUGGCUGAAUGAUCUACUGCCGCUGGGUCCUUGGCUGCCAGAUGAGCCCCUGUGACUGGAGGUCUUCGAGUCUUUGGAGGAGUUAUGCAGAGCAGAGCGUGGAGGAUGAGAGUCUGAUGUGGAUGGAGAAUGAGAGGAGCUGCCAAAGGUAGAGAAGAACUGUAAUGAACACACCGCACAUCACUGCAACCAAUGCAAGUAUUGAUUUAAAGGCAUCCCUACCUUUCUUUUGAAGAUGUUUUACUCCUUUGAGACAUGCUAAUAGAUAACGAUAAGAAAAAAGGGAACAUUUUAGAUGUUACUCAUGUUGUUCUUUCUCAUCUUGUAUGCCUGUUUGUCCACAUUGGCAUUGUAGAUGCACAAUUCUUCAUGUAACAUUCAUGCAACCAUGCCCAGUCAGUUGAGGCUGACAUGUAUAAAACAUAAGAGUAGCUUUCCAGACAAAUAAAUGCAACCUGUUUUA
Molecule: long non-coding RNA, 934 nt
Organism: Carassius carassius (crucian carp)
Lineage: Eukaryota; Metazoa; Chordata; Actinopteri; Cypriniformes; Cyprinidae
Exons: 3
Source: RefSeq, a predicted model, not a curated record